Long non-coding RNA from Carassius gibelio (silver crucian carp), 733 nucleotides. RefSeq lists it as uncharacterized. The record is from RefSeq and is a predicted model, not a curated record. The transcript is spliced from 5 exons. NCBI's taxonomy places the organism in Eukaryota, Metazoa, Chordata, Actinopteri, Cypriniformes, Cyprinidae.
UAUAAAUUACAGCGCUCCACUCACACACAUAAAGUAAUCUUUUUUUAAUUAACAUUACUCUGUGCUUAAUUUUUUUUUCAUAAAUAGAAUGGUUGCACAUUAUAUUACAAACAAUAUGGGCCUGUGUUUUGUAUAACAUUUCCCGACAGUAUUUAUUAAUUUAUCAUUUGUUUGUUUAAACCAUAGACUGUUUAAACAUAAACUUCCAACGGUCGACGUGCAGUUAUUGUAUUGUAUUGCAAUAGGAAACAGCGACGCCCGUAGACUAAAGCGAGUAUUACAGCUAAUCGCUUUGGUUGCCCCUUAGCUUUUGUAACCUUUUUAGUUACACCAAAUUACGGGGGAACAAAGUGGAACAAGAUGUUGGGAUUUGGGGUAACGUUAGUGUUAACGUACAUUUUAUUUUUAGAUUUUCAAACUGUCGUCGGAAUUUGGAGAUACAAGCAGAUUUUGGAGGAAAAAGAGUUAUUCAUCGUAGACAGUACUAUUUUUUUAGAAUACGAAGGAUCCUCUUUUUUGGAGUGGCAAUAUCCUGAUGGUUGUCAUGUGACUAAUAAGAGUUCACCUAAUGCUGUUAUGUGGUGUAAAUCCCCUGGAUUUCAAGCUAUAAAGCCACUUGUUUCUAACGUGUCUACAGAAAAAGAAGAAGAGCGACACCUUUAUAUAAGUGACUCAUUUUUCAGGCUUGCGUGGUAUGCUGUUAUUCCUUUGCUCAGGUUUUAACCAGCUCAAC